AUGUGUUAUAACAUUGAGGGUGUUACAGCACAAUGCACGGUUCAAACGAUAAGCUUUCCGCGAGUCUUAUAAUCUUCAAAGAGUUGUUCACUUAACAUACAUGUUCAGUCAUGUACAGUGUCGAGCGUACGGACAGUGAAAGAACGCGAACUCUGGCAGUGGUACAAGAGAUGAAGAUCAGGAAGAAGAUAGAGGAGUACGUUAUUAUUUUUCCUGUCCUUAUCUUAACUUGUUUUUAGAUUUUUCGUUUAGAUGAGGAGGAGGCUGAUGAAAAGUAGAGGAGGAUGCUGACGGAGAGACAAGAAGGAUGCAGAUGAAGAGACGAGGAUGCAGAUGAAGAGAAAAGGAGGAUGCAGAUGAAGAGACGAGGAUGCAGAUAAAGAGAAAAGGAGGAUGCAGAUGAAGGGACGAGGAGGAUGAAAAUGAAUGGACAAGGAGGAUCAAGAACGGACAAGGAGGAUCAAGAAGGAUAUAGAGAAACAUGUCGAGCGUACGGACAGUGAAAGAACGCGAACUCUGGCAGUGGUGGGUGCUUACAAUUGUUUGUUUCCAUCAAACAAAUAACUUCUUCUUCAGUCUUUUUUUAGGUACAAGAGAUGAAGAUCAAGAAGAAGAUAGAGAGGAGUACGUUAUUUUUUCCUGUCCUAAUCUUAACUUGUUUUUAGAUUUUUCGUUUAGAUGAGGAGGAGGCUGAUGAAAAGAAGAGGAUGCUGACGGAGAGACGAGGAAGAUGCUGACGGAGCUACGAGGAGGAUGCUGAUGG
Molecule: long non-coding RNA, 763 nt
Organism: Xenia sp. Carnegie-2017
Lineage: Eukaryota; Metazoa; Cnidaria; Anthozoa; Malacalcyonacea; Xeniidae
Exons: 3
Source: RefSeq, a predicted model, not a curated record